This 1048-nucleotide ribosomal RNA is filed under the name Arthrobacter sp. Its description in RNAcentral is "bacterial SSU rRNA". It matches the Rfam family "Bacterial small subunit ribosomal RNA", at positions 35 to 1074 of the family's 1533-position model. Lineage: Bacteria; Bacillati; Actinomycetota; Actinomycetes; Micrococcales; Micrococcaceae. The record is from RNAcentral.
GCUGGCUUGCGCAGCUUACACAUGCAAGUCGAGCGGGGAAAGGUAGCUUGCUACCUAACUUAGCGGCGGACGGGUGAGUAAUACUUAGGAAUCUGCCUAUUAGUGGGGGACAACAUUUCGAAAGGAAUGCUAAUACCGCAUACGCCCUACGGGGGAAAGCAGGGGAUCACUUGUGACCUUGCGCUAAUAGAUGAGCCUAAGUCGGAUUAGCUAGUUGGUGGGGUAAAGGCCUACCAAGGCGACGAUCUGUAGCGGGUCUGAGAGGAUGAUCCGCCACACUGGGACUGAGACACGGCCCAGACUCCUACGGGAGGCAGCAGUGGGGAAUAUUGGACAAUGGGGGGAACCCUGAUCCAGCCAUGCCGCGUGUGUGAAGAAGGCCUUUUGGUUGUAAAGCACUUUAAGCGAGGAGGAGGCUACUCUAGUUAAUACCUAGGGAUAGUGGACGUUACUCGCAGAAUAAGCACCGGCUAACUCUGUGCCAGCAGCCGCGGUAAUACAGAGGGUGCAAGCGUUAAUCGGAUUUACUGGGCGUAAAGCGUGCGUAGGUGGCCAAUUAAGUCAAAUGUGAAAUCCCCGAGCUUAACUUGGGAAUUGCAUUCGAUACUGGUUGGCUAGAGUAUGGGAGAGGAUGGUAGAAUUCCAGGUGUAGCGGUGAAAUGCGUAGAGAUCUGGAGGAAUACCGAUGGCGAAGGCAGCCAUCUGGCCUAAUACUGACACUGAGGUACGAAAGCAUGGGGAGCAAACAGGAUUAGAUACCCUGGUAGUCCAUGCCGUAAACGAUGUCUACUAGCCGUUGGGGUCUUUGAGACUUUAGUGGCGCAGCUAACGCGAUAAGUAGACCGCCUGGGGAGUACGGUCGCAAGACUAAAACUCAAAUGAAUUGACGGGGGCCCGCACAAGCGGUGGAGCAUGUGGUUUAAUUCGAUGCAACGCGAAGAACCUUACCUGGUCUUGACAUAGUAAGAACUUUCCAGAGAUGGAUUGGUGCCUUCGGGAGCUUACAUACAGGUGCUGCAUGGCUGUCGUCAGCUCGUGUCGUGAGAUG